RNAcentral lists this non-coding RNA (165 nucleotides) under chicken gut metagenome. Its description in RNAcentral is "Lysine riboswitch". It matches the Rfam family "Lysine riboswitch aptamer". Rfam says of the family: Riboswitches are metabolite binding domains within certain messenger RNAs that serve as precision sensors for their corresponding targets. The record is from RNAcentral.
GCAAGUAGAGGUCGCGUUAUCCAUCAGUAGGCAGAGGGAUAUGACAGGCAUAGAUGAAGCUGCCGAAAGGGGAUGACGCCGAAGAUGGUUGUGCCUGUACAUUUCCAUCUGGGCGCAGCGGCGAAGAGCCCUGCGACUGUCAUCCCGGACGGAUGGAGAGCUACG